RNAcentral lists this transfer RNA (74 nucleotides) under Bacteroidales bacterium. Its description in RNAcentral is "tRNA-Met". It matches the Rfam family "tRNA". From Rfam's summary of the family: Transfer RNA (tRNA) molecules are approximately 80 nucleotides in length. Their secondary structure includes four short double-helical elements and three loops (D, anti-codon, and T loops). Further hydrogen bonds mediate the characteristic L-shaped molecular structure. tRNAs have two regions of fundamental functional importance: the anti-codon, which is responsible for specific mRNA codon recognition, and the 3' end, to which the tRNAs corresponding amino acid is attached (by aminoacyl-tRNA synthetases). tRNAs cope with the degeneracy of the genetic code in two manners: having more than one tRNA (with a specific anti-codon) for a particular amino acid; and 'wobble' base-pairing, i.e. permitting non-standard base-pairing at the 3rd anti-codon position. The record is from RNAcentral. Lineage: Bacteria; Pseudomonadati; Bacteroidota; Bacteroidia; Bacteroidales.
CGCGGGGUAGAGCAGUUGGUAGCUCGUCGGGCUCAUAACCCGGAGGUCGGAUGGUUCGAGUCCUCCCCCCGCUA